Molecule: long non-coding RNA, 3483 nt
Filed under: Homo sapiens (human)
Lineage: Eukaryota; Metazoa; Chordata; Mammalia; Primates; Hominidae
Description: non-protein coding BLACAT1:11
Source: RNAcentral
CAGAGGCUAGAGCUCAGGCUCAAGCAGGCCAAGAAGGAGUUAACCUCCAAGGAGAAUGCGGGCUUCUCCCAGACUGGAGGUCUGUGCCCAGUUUUGCUGGUGCCAACUCCGGGAAGAAGUCCUGGGAUCUGUAGUUUGUGCCACCACCCACCCCUGGCCUGCCUGUUUAUCAACACGGUCUUGUAGACUACAGUUCCCAGAAACCUGCAGAGGCUAGGCUUUGGGGGAAGGGGUGGGGAAGGAGGCUCCGUGGCGGCCAGAGGGAGAGGGAGAGGGAGGAGGUGGGGAGAGAAAACCCAAUUCACCCCCUUCGUUUUUAAUUCUUUCUCCUGGUGUGUCUGCUCCACCGCCCGAGCUAAUCCCCCAAAUCCGGUCUCCUAAGCCGCAGCUGCUUCCCUUCGCAGUGAUGAAUGGCUCAGGGAGGGAAGAUCUCUGGUGAGUGUUCCCCCAGCCUGGCGUAGGGCAUGCCCCAGUUCACUUUCGCCUGCUUCUGUGGUCUCCACGGCUUCUGCAAAAUGAAGAGGAAGAAGGAGGAAGUUCACAGAGAGCGGGAGACGGCGGUGUGAUCAGAACCAGGGCCCCUCCAUCAAGCCCCCAGCAGGUCCCAGGCCUGAUGGUGCCUGCUUCUGGCUGGGGCUUGGAGCAGGAAGCCGUGUGUGUAUCUUAAGUCUUGAUUUAGCCAGUGCUCUUCUCAGCCUGACUCUCACCCGAGGGCAUCAGCCUCCUGUGUGCCUCUCAUCCUCCUCAUGCCCACACCCAUUAGCUUCCAAUUCUCAGACCUCCUUGGAGAGAGGCCCCAGCCACACAAGGGGGAACCCCAGGACCUGCCGCAUGCCUUCCAGAGACUGAGAAGCCCCAGGGAGGCCAAGGAGUGAAACUUCUUUCCUGCCCUGAGAGCUUCGGGGGACUCUUCUCAGGGUAACCGCAUGAGGCAUGUGCCGCCUUGGGCUAGGAGAGCUGUUGCUAAAUGGGAAACUGGCUGCUCUAGCAGAGAACUUCCAGCAGCCCUGACCCUGGAGAAGGCCUCCAGGGCGGAAGUGUGAGACUCUCCUGGGAUUCCAGGACCUGGGGCAAGAAUCCUUUUCCAGCCCCCUGCCAGCAUCCUCCUGGGCCAGGUGGGGCCAGGCCUGAGGUGGCCAGCCCAGUGAGGAGGAAGGCAGAGGUGGCCAGUGGCUCCGUGGCUCCCUCUGUUCUUGCUCUCCAGAAAGCAGUGUUUCCUCCAGCCCCGGCCCUGACCCACCCGUGUUCAUGAUGCCUGUGCCUCCUUGCCAGCAUCACAGAUGUGGGGAGGCCUGUUCCCCAGGCCCUGACUCCCCUCCUCAGGGACUGUCUUGCCGUGGCCAGACUGAGGGACCCCUUUCCUGGACUGAGCCGUGCCCUCCCUUGAUUCUCCUGUCUCCCCUGCCUUUUUCUUCUCUCCUCAGAAGCCAUAGAGGGGACUGCGUUCAUAUGUGGUGCCUUCAGUGGAAACUCUUAGGGUGGGGGGACCUCUAGGACCUUCCUCGACUUUUUCCCUCAUCCCCCACCCCCGCCAACCUUCCAGCUUCAGCCUCUGCCCUUACCCCCAGCCCAUUUCCAGGAGGUAGGAAGCAAAAGAAAAAAGCAUUUCCUUCCCUCUUUCCUUCUUCCUUCCUUCCUCUCUCCCUUCAUUUUGGUAUAACUUAGCCUUUUGUCUUUAAUCCUGGAGUUCUCCGGGGCUAGAAGACAGGCAGAGACGAAUGCCAGCAGCAGAGAUGCUUCAGGCAGAUUCUGUAAGCCUGUUCUCCCUCAUCAGGGAGCAGCUCAGCCAAGGAGCAAAGUCAGACCCCCUCUAGCUCCCCAGGGACAGAAUAGCCCUUCUGACAGGUAAACAGGUGACCUGGGUAGAGAGGGCAAGGCCCCAAGAUAGGAGAGUCAGGGCUCCCCUUUCCUUGGAAUGUGGGCCUCUCUGGGCAACUAGGGAGGGCAAAAGUCUUCCUCGGCUGGUUCGCCCAAAACCUGGGAGAAGCAAGGGCACAUUCUAUGCUGGCAGCCUCUGCCUGCCCAGCUCAUGCCCACACUCAGGGGCCUUUCCUGGGCUUUGGGCAGAUUGGGUGGGAUUCAGGUUGUCUUUAUGAGGCUUGAGCACAGCUUGAGUUCCUCCUCCCAUCCUCCAACCCCUUCCUUUGCCCCUACCUCCUAGCCCCCACCUUCUACAAUCUGUUAUUUCCUUUUAUAUCCAAAGAAUUAUAAACAGAAGUCCUUCCCUCAAGGGAACAGCAAGAUUCAGCAAUAAAGGCCAGUGGGGUCACAAAGGACAGAAGAAAAACUCCCUGGUUCUUUGUCCUCUUGGAUAGUAGAGGCCUUGGGUGAGGCAAAGAGAUGGGCAGAAAAAGUUACCUUGAUACAGAGGCCAGAGAGCCUCCUGGAGGGCAUGUGUUUCCCUAGCGGUCACCUGCGAGGCUGCAAUCCUAGAAAAGUCACUUCUGUGGCAGAGGAUGAAAUUGUAUCCCCGGAGACUCAGAGAUAUUGGGUGUUAUGUCCUGACCACACAGGCUCACCAGGAGGAAAGGUUAGGAAAGUGGAGAAAGUACGUCCUGGGGAGCGGGUGGCCGAGGAGAGCUUUCCCCUUGUGCGCCUCUCAGGCCUUGGCAGGGAUUGCAGCUGCAGGGGUUUGGCAGUGAGCCCAUCCAGAGAGCUUCCUCCCCCGGGAGAACUCCCUUGGCUCCAGAGGGAUACUAGAUAUCUUGAGCCCUGGCUUUGGGAACAUGGGUGGGGUCCCAAGGUCAAAGUGUUCUGAGUGGAGGUCCAGUUGUCCUCUGCCUCCAAGCCGGCAGCCCCUUCUUCACCCAGGGCUGAGGUUGGGGCCAGCACUGCAGCUGGAAUUGUCUGAGCAGGAGGUAGCAGCUUCUAGCCAGGCACACCCCAACCCCACAUUCUAUUGUCCCUCAGUUUCCUUCUCAGGAAAAUGGGGACUUUGCUCCUUUUAGCAUCUCAGGAAGCAGUCUGGACACCUGUGCCCUCCUCUAGGCCCUUGGAUGAGCCCAGGGAAUAGGGAAAGGCCAAAGCAGCCCCAGCAUUCGCAGACCCUGCGCCCUGGGCCUCUGACUUCGGGCCAGGCUUCUGCUCCUUCUAGGGUUGGCCUGGCUGCCCUGCCUUCCCAUCCUCUCUCCAUGGUUCUCUCCCAGAGACUCCACCUUGAGGUGGGGGCCCUGAGCUCUUGGGGUGAGGGAGGGGCACAUGGGUAGAUGAUUCUGUGGAGGAGAUCAGGCCUCUUGUUCUUGCUGCGUGGCACUGAUUCCUCCUUGCAGAUGGGUGAGGGGGCCAGUUUUCCCCAUCUGUAAAGCGAGGACUUCCCAUGGCCAUUUUCCCUCUUGGGCUUCAGGCUGCUGAAUGGAAGAUCAAGAAGUGUGAAGGGUGCUUGGGGUCCUUGUGACUUGAGUGUUGCCUAGGACCCUGGCCCACAGGACCCAAGGGGCUUCUUGUCUCAGGUUGAAACCUUUUUAUCAGAAUGUCAUUUCCUUC